GGAUGGAUGUCUGAGCGGUUGAAAGAGUCGGUCUUGAAAAUCGAAGUAUUGAUAGGAAUAUCGGGGGUUCGAAUCCCUCUCCAUCCAC
Molecule: transfer RNA, 88 nt
Filed under: Amborella trichopoda
Lineage: Eukaryota; Viridiplantae; Streptophyta; Magnoliopsida; Amborellales; Amborellaceae
Description: tRNA AMTR_s00012t00278720
Rfam family: tRNA
About the family: Transfer RNA (tRNA) molecules are approximately 80 nucleotides in length.
Source: RNAcentral